Long non-coding RNA from Oncorhynchus tshawytscha (Chinook salmon), 405 nucleotides. Lineage: Eukaryota; Metazoa; Chordata; Actinopteri; Salmoniformes; Salmonidae. The record is from Ensembl.
AGUAGUAGUAGUAGUAGUGGUAGUAGUAGUAGUAGUAGUAGUAGUAGUAGUAGUAGUAGUAGUAGUAGUAGUGGUAGUAGUAGUAGUAGUAGUAGUAGUAGUAGUAGUAGUAGUAGUAGUAGUAGUAGUAGUAGUAGUAGCAGUAGUAGUAGUAGUAGUAGUAGUAGUAGUGGUAGUAGUAGUAGUAGUAGUAGUAGUAGUAGUAGUAGUAGUAGUGGUAGUAGUAGUGGUAGUGGUAGUAGUAGUAGUAGUAGUAGUAGUAGUAGUAGUAGUAGUAGUAGUGGUAGUAGUAGUAGUAGUGGUAGUAGUAGUAGUAGUAGUAGUGGUAGUAGUGGUAGUAGUAGUAGUAGUAGUAGUGGUAGUGGUAGUAGUAGUAGUAGUAGUAGUAUUAGUAGUAUUAGUAGU